Molecule: ribosomal RNA, 450 nt
Filed under: uncultured bacterium
Lineage: Bacteria
Description: partial 16S ribosomal RNA
Rfam family: Bacterial small subunit ribosomal RNA
Source: RNAcentral
GUGGGGAAUUUUGGACAAUGGGCGCAAGCCUGAUCCAGCAAUGCCGCGUGCAGGAAGAAGGCCUUCGGGUUGUAAACUGCUUUUGUACGGAACGAAACGGUCCUGGCUAAUAUCCGGGGCUAAUGACGGUACCGUAAGAAUAAGCACCGGCUAACUACGUGCCAGCAGCCGCGGUAAUACGUAGGGUGCAAGCGUUAAUCGGAAUUACUGGGCGUAAAGCGUGCGCAGGCGGUUUUGUAAGACAGGCGUGAAAUCCCCGGGCUCAACCUGGGAAUUGCGCUUGGGACUGCAAGACUGGAGUGCGGCAGAGGGGGAUGGAAUUCCGCGUGUAGCAGUGAAAUGCGUAGAUAUGCGGAGGAACACCGAUGGCGAAGGCAAUCCCCUGGGCCUGCACUGACGCUCAUGCACGAAAGCGUGGGGAGCAAACAGGAUUAGAUACCCGGGUAGUCC